RNAcentral lists this non-coding RNA (1160 nucleotides) under Streptomyces afghaniensis 772. RNAcentral's name for it is "Bacterial large subunit ribosomal RNA". It matches the Rfam family "Bacterial large subunit ribosomal RNA", at positions 1776 to 2925 of the family's 2925-position model. Lineage: Bacteria; Bacillati; Actinomycetota; Actinomycetes; Kitasatosporales; Streptomycetaceae. The record is from Rfam by way of RNAcentral.
GCCGCAGAGACCAGCGAGAAGCGACUGUUUACUAAAAACACAGGUCCGUGCGAAGCCGUAAGGCGAUGUAUACGGACUGACGCCUGCCCGGUGCUGGAACGUUAAGGGGACCGGUUAGCUCCAUUUCGGUGGGGCGAAGCUGAGAACUUAAGCGCCAGUAAACGGCGGUGGUAACUAUAACCAUCCUAAGGUAGCGAAAUUCCUUGUCGGGUAAGUUCCGACCUGCACGAAUGGCGUAACGACUUCUCGACUGUCUCAACCAUAGGCCCGGUGAAAUUGCACUACGAGUAAAGAUGCUCGUUUCGCGCAGCAGGACGGAAAGACCCCGGGACCUUUACUACAGUUUGAUAUUGGUGUUCGGUUCGGCUUGUGUAGGAUAGCUGGGAGACUGUGAAGCGCUAACGCCAGUUAGUGUGGAGUCGUCGUUGAAAUACCAGUCUGGUCGUGCUGGAUGUCUAACCUGGGUCCGUGAUCCGGAUCAGGGACAGUGUCUGAUGGGUAGUUUAACUGGGGCGGUUGCCUCCUAAAGAGUAACGGAGGCGCCCAAAGGUUCCCUCAGCCUGGUUGGCAAUCAGGUGUUGAGUGUAAGUGCACAAGGGAGCUUGACUGUGAGACCGACGGGUCGAGCAGGGACGAAAGUCGGGACUAGUGAUCCGGCGGUGGCUUGUGGAAGCGCCGUCGCUCAACGGAUAAAAGGUACCCCGGGGAUAACAGGCUGAUCUUCCCCAAGAGUCCAUAUCGACGGGAUGGUUUGGCACCUCGAUGUCGGCUCGUCGCAUCCUGGGGCUGGAGUCGGUCCCAAGGGUUGGGCUGUUCGCCCAUUAAAGCGGUACGCGAGCUGGGUUUAGAACGUCGUGAGACAGUUCGGUCCCUAUCCGCUGUGCGCGUAGGAGUCUUGAGAAGGGCUGUCCCUAGUACGAGAGGACCGGGACGGACGAACCUCUGGUGUGCCAGUUGUUCUGCCAAGGGCAUGGCUGGUUGGCUACGUUCGGGAGGGAUAACCGCUGAAAGCAUCUAAGCGGGAAGCCUGCUUCGAGAUGAGGACUCCCACCUCCUAGAGAGGGUAAGGCUCCCAGUAGACGACUGGGUUGAUAGGCCGGAUAUGGAAGCACGGUAACGUGUGGAGUUGACCGGUACUAAUAGGCCGAGGGCUUGUCCUC